UAUCUGCAGUCGAGCGCAGGAAACCAGAUGACCCCUUCGGGGUGAUUCUGGUGGAAUGAGCGGCGGACGGGUGAGUAACACGUGGGCAACCUGCCUGUAAGACUGGGAUAACUUCGGGAAACCGGAGCUAAUACCGGAUAGUAUUUCCUUUCUCCUGAUUGGAAAUGGAAAGACGGUUUCGGCUGUCACUUACAGAUGGGCCCGCGGUGCAUUAGCUAGUUGGUGGGGUAAUGGCCCACCAAGGCGACGAUGCAUAGCCGACCUGAGGGGGUGAUCGGCCACACUGGGACUGAGACACGGCCCAGACUCCUACGGGAGGCAGCAGUAGGGAAUCUUCCGCAAUGGACGAAAGUCUGACGGAGCAACGCCGCGUGAGCGAUGAAGGCCUUCGGGUCGUAAAGCUCUGUUGUUAGGGAAGAACAAGUACGAGAGUAACUGCUCGUACCUUGACGGUACCUAACCAGAAAGCCCCGGCUAACUACGUGCCAGCAGCCGCGGUAAUACGUAGGGGGCAAGCGUUGUCCGGAAUUAUUGGGCGUAAAGGGCUCGUAGGCGGUUUCUUAAGUCUGAUGUGAAAGCCCACAGCUCAACUGUGGAGGGUCAUUGGAAACUGGGGAACUUGAGUGCAGAAGAGGAGAGUGGAAUUCCACGUGUAGCGGUGAAAUGCGUAAAUAUGUGGAGGAACACCAGUGGCGAAGGCGACUCUCUGGUCUGUAACUGACGCUGAGGAGCGAAAGCGUGGGGAGCAAACAGGAUUAGAUACCCUGGUAGUCCACGCCGUAAACGAUGAGUGCUAGGUGUUAGGGGGUUUCCCCCCCUUAGUGCUGAAUUUACGCAUUAACACUCCCCCU
This 851-nucleotide ribosomal RNA is filed under the name uncultured bacterium. RNAcentral's name for it is "bacterial SSU rRNA". It matches the Rfam family "Bacterial small subunit ribosomal RNA", at positions 52 to 874 of the family's 1533-position model. The record is from RNAcentral.